CUUAAUUUUCGCUUACCCAGGAUUAUAUCCAUCGAAAGUUUUGGUGUUUAGGCCUUAGAGCUCUCUCUUUCUCUCCCAGAGACAUCAACCCCAAAAUCCAUCGUCUCUCUCUAACCCAGAGACCUCAAACACCGAAAGUCAUCAGAAUCCCAACGAUUUGCAGAUUGGUUUUGCAUAGAUGGGAAAUCGCUCUCCUCCGCCGAUAACAAUCCGAGGUUGAGAUUUUGGGUUGAAGUCUAGCUCCAUCCUAUGCUGGUAUGCCUCUCUAUGAAGCAAUGGUUUCGCAUUUGGUUUAUGAGAUUCACGAUUUAGAUUCGGAAUGUUCAUCUAUGUAAACCGAUGCUAGCUGUGGUUAAAGUUACGAUUUGGGGUUGAAGAACAGACCCGCUGCAACAGGGUUUGCACAGAAAGAAGAAGGAGGGCAGGAGAAUGGUUUGGUUGUCAGUGCAGAGACACCAUCGGUCUCACUUCUCUCUCCUUUUCUCUCUUUUGAUGACCUUAAUUUGAUCAACGUUUAAAGCUUUAGGUGAAAUGGUUAGUACCCAUGCGGUGGUUUUUGUAGUAUGAGAGAAGGUUGCACAACCAAAAGGUGCAUUGCAAGUUUCGGCUUCGAGUACGAUUAAGAUUCUGACAAUGGGAGGCCCUAGAUUUAUUGGUGUCUUCUUGUCUAGGCUCCUUGUCCAAGAGGGCCAUCAGUUGCUUACCCAGUACUACAUAGCUCUGGUAAUUCCACUAUCUUAACUUUAAUUCAUGCUUUCCCUAGAAAUUUACUAUUGAAAUAACCCUGUCUGUAAGCCUUCAUCUCUCAGUCUCUCUUAUAAAAAAAAUGUCCUUCAUCUCCAAAGCUGUAUACUUCGGUUGUACAUGAUAAUUUCCUCUUACAUUAAUUCUAUACUGACAAAUUUACCUUGUGAGUUUACUGUUGCAGAAGAUUCUAGUUCAGGAAAUAAUUUGUUUUGCCUAAUUCGCAUACCCCAAGUCUAAUCCUUGUCAAGCUUAUGAGUUAUGAAUAUGGUAGAAUUAGCUUGAUUAUGAAUCUCUUUGGCAUUGUAGCUAGACCCAGUGAAAUUAAUCUAUUUGUAGGGUCUAAUUUUUUUUUCCAUAAUUAUAUCCGUAUUCAUGUGUCCAAGUGACAAGGUAUGUUGAUUUUGAUCAUCAUUUGCACAACAGUAUAAUUUUGUGUUUUGUACAGCUUUAGACAAGAAGCAUCGUAGUGUUGGUGUUGCAGACCCUGUACUAUGAUUACUUUUAUUCAUGGUGGAAAUGUGGCAAAGUCUCAGUGAACCAAUUGGCACAAGAUGAGAAAGAAGAUUAGUGAAAACCAUUGAAUCCUGAGUCAGUUGAUUCUGCAGGCGUCCCAAUACCGAAUGCGUCUCAAAGCCACUCAUAGAAAAGAGUUAUACUAUAUGUAGCUUAGCUUAUCCUAUUUACGAGUAUUAUUGAAUCCCAAAAGAUUAAUAUGUGAAAAAAACAAUAAGGCCAACAAUGUUGAUAAUUUUAAUAGGCCAACAAAGUUGUGAUAUGUGCAAGUGUGUGAUGGAAUACUAGACGUGUUGUAGACUUGUAGUUUGUGAGUUUUAGAGUGAUUAAAUUAACGGUGGUGUGUGCAGAUGGCCGUGACAACAUAUAGUACGUCUCUUCCUGCUGCCAAAAGAUAUAUAAACGGCAAUGAGAAAGAGUAUAACUCAUGCAAUGAAAGCCAUCAAAGACAGAAAACAAUACUAGUCUUUAUCCCUUAUUGUAAUGUUCUCCAUUCCCUAUCAUUGGUUUUAUAAUUAGCAGUUGUAUGUGUUGUAAUUGGACAUGAGUAUCGUAGAUUGAGUAUUUCUUAUUUGAUUAAAGUACAGAGUGUAAUUGGACGACCUAUAAAGGCAUUGUCAUGACUGUCA
Argentina anserina (silverweed cinquefoil) is the source of this 1889-nucleotide long non-coding RNA. RefSeq lists it as uncharacterized. Lineage: Eukaryota; Viridiplantae; Streptophyta; Magnoliopsida; Rosales; Rosaceae. The record is from RefSeq and is a predicted model, not a curated record. The transcript has 5 exons.